GUGGGGAAUAUUGGACAAUGGGCGCAAGCCUGAUCCAGCAAUGCCGCGUGCAGGAAGAAGGCCUUCGGGUUGUAAACUGCUUUUGUACGGAACGAAACGGUCCUGGCUAAUACCUGGGGCUAAUGACGGUACCGUAAGAAUAAGCACCGGCUAACUACGUGCCAGCAGCCGCGGUAAUACGUAGGGUGCGAGCGUUAAUCGGAAUUACUGGGCGUAAAGCGUGCGCAGGCGGUGCUGUAAGACAGGCGUGAAAUACCCGGGCUCAACCUGGGAAUUGCGCUUGUGACUGCAGUGCUGGAGUGCGGCAGAGGGGGAUGGAAUUCCGCGUGUAGCAGUGAAAUGCGUAGAUAUGCGGAGGAACACCGAUGGCGAAGGCAAUCCCCUGGGCCUGCACUGACGCUCAUGCACGAAAGCGUGGGGAGCAAACAGGAUUAGAUACCCGGGUAGUCC
RNAcentral lists this ribosomal RNA (450 nucleotides) under uncultured bacterium. RNAcentral describes it as "partial 16S ribosomal RNA". It matches the Rfam family "Bacterial small subunit ribosomal RNA", at positions 354 to 796 of the family's 1533-position model. The record is from RNAcentral.